RNAcentral lists this small nuclear RNA (103 nucleotides) under Castor canadensis (American beaver). The record is from RNAcentral. Lineage: Eukaryota; Metazoa; Chordata; Mammalia; Rodentia; Castoridae.
UUGCUUCAGCAGCACAUAGACUAAAAUUGGAAUGACACAGAGAAGAUUAGCAUGGCCCCUGUGCAAGGAUGACAUGCAAAUUCGUGAAGUGUUCCAUAUUUAA